UACGUAGGAGGCGAGCGUUGUCCGGAGUUACUGGGCGUAAAGGGUGCGCAGGCGGCGGUUCGCGUGGAUAGAUGAAAUCUCCUGGCUUACCUGGGAGGAUGGUAUCCAGACGGGAUCGCUUGAGGGUCGGAGAGGGGCGUGGAAUUCCAGGUGUAGCGGUGAAAUGCGUAGAUAUCUGGAGGAAUACCGGUGGCGAAGGCGGCAUCCUGGACCGGCAUUGACGCUGAGGAGCGAAAGCCAGGGGAGCAAACGGG
RNAcentral lists this ribosomal RNA (254 nucleotides) under uncultured bacterium. RNAcentral's name for it is "partial 16S ribosomal RNA". It matches the Rfam family "Bacterial small subunit ribosomal RNA", at positions 524 to 776 of the family's 1533-position model. The record is from RNAcentral.